CCUACGGGUGGCAGCAGUGGGGAAUAUUGCACAAUGGGGGCAACCCUUAUGCAGCGACGCCGCGUGAGUGAAGAAGUAUUUCGGUACGUAAAGCUCUAUCAGCAGGGAAGAAAAUGACGGUACUUGACUAAGAAGCCGCGGCUAACUACGUGCCAGCAGCCGCGGUAGUACGUAGGGGGCAAGCGUUAUCCGGAUUUACGGGGUGUAAAGGUAGCGUAGACGGCAGCGAAAGUCUGAAGUGAAAUCCCAUGGCUUAACCAUGGAACUGCUUUGGAAACUGCGCAGCUGGAGUGCAGGAGAGGUAAGUGGAAUUCCUAGUGUAGCGGUGAAAUGCGUAGAUAUUAGGAGGAACAUCAGUGGCGAAGGCGGCUUACUGGACUGUAACUGACGUUGAGGCUCGAAAGCGUGGGGAGCAAACAGGAUUAGAUACCCCGGUAGUC
This 440-nucleotide ribosomal RNA is filed under the name uncultured bacterium. RNAcentral describes it as "partial 16S ribosomal RNA". It matches the Rfam family "Bacterial small subunit ribosomal RNA", at positions 338 to 795 of the family's 1533-position model. The record is from RNAcentral.